GGGAAGUGGGGGACGUGGGACGAAGGCAGUGUGCCCACGUCAACAAGUGCCAGGGAUGGGAGAAUGUGGUGUAAUGAAGGAAGGACUGGGACUAGCAGAAAUCCGCGGCUAACGGCUAAAUCCCUCUGAAAACAAUUAAAGUGCUGCCGUUCCCUUAGCAAACCGCCUGGGCUUCUGAAGCGUCCUGUUGUUCACUUUGUUAUGGUCGCCUCCACUUUUUUUUUGGAGAGGGAUUGUGCUGUUGAUGUGCCGGGGGCUUGGCUGUGCUGAUCGGAUCUGCGCGAUAAGCCUCCACCCUCUCUUUGUCCGCGAGCCAGGCGAGACAUGAGCAGUAAGCCCACUGGGUCAACUGAGGACAAGAUGUCUGUCCGAUACCUGAAAGGGAAGAUCAAGACUCAGCACAUGCUUGAGGGAUCAUAUAAACAACCCAUAAACACACUCGGCUUGUAUGCAGCACAUGCUGAGAUCAGAGAUGAAGAGAGAAAUCCAUAUUGACUGCUCUGCAUUGACUCAAAUCAAGUUUCCUUACAAGGAUGCCACCAGCAGAUCACAGGAAAUGAUUCACUCUCUUUCUGUCCAGAUGAGACAGAAAGACGUGGAUGAACUAGGGAGCGAAAGAAAGGAGCAGGAAGAAGUGGAUGAACUGGGGAGUGAACGAAAGGACUGAGUUGUGUGAAAAACAUUAUAGCACACUACAUGAAACACAGUGCUUGUGUCUGUAAAUGACAACUGAAAUGAAUUUAUAAAUACAUUCUCUUCAUGGAUGAAAUAACUCAAACUUUUCUUCUUUCUUCCUCAUUUCCCUUUUCUUUGGAACCUGCCGCUAGGCUGACAUGAUUAUUUUAUGUAAUGACUUUCUUUGGAGUUGAUUUGCACUGGUGAUUGAGCUUCACUUCCUCCAGACCUUAUUUUAUUCUCACAGCAUUCUCACUCACCCUAAUGGUUGCACUGACGCUUUGCUGCAGACUACUUGUGUUUCUCUUUUCCAGCAGAUUUUUUAAAUGAUUCAAACCGGUUCUAUUUGAUAACAAAAUAAGAUGUGAUCCAGUGCCAUUGAUUUGUAUACUAAGCAUUACAGGGAACAGUACACAGAAAUCCACUGUCCAUGCCCAUGUUUUCUCUGUCUUGAUUUUUUAAAAGAUAAAUCUUGUCAAACAUUAGAGAUGGAGUAUAACAUUGUGGCCUCGAUAUGAUCUCAACAAUUAAAAUAUAUUUUUGUAAAUUGGCUUUAAGAAAAUGGAC
This 1242-nucleotide long non-coding RNA is filed under the name Salmo salar (Atlantic salmon). RNAcentral's name for it is "lncRNA (ENSSSAG00000108868.1, ENSSSAG00075004673.1)". The record is from RNAcentral. Lineage: Eukaryota; Metazoa; Chordata; Actinopteri; Salmoniformes; Salmonidae.